GUGUUGUGGUGCUUGUAUAAAAUAAACUGGUGCUAAAUCUGUUGAUAUAUUGAAUGAUUGUGCAUGCUGUGGUGGUUAUAUAAAAUAAAUAGGAACUGAAUGUGAUGAUACGGGAAAUAAGUGUGCAUGUUGUGAUGGUUGAGAAAAAAAACUAGGUUAAAAGAAAUAAUAAAUAAACCACACUAAUCAAGAGGUUGCGCGGCAAUGGUGUCCUCUGAUGUAGGUGGAGCAGAUGUCAAUCCCGCCGCAUCUACAUCUCCCGAUCUAGGAUUGAUGGGCCCUCGUCUUGGCCUCCUACGACAAGUUGGCUACUCCUCUCUAAAUCUAACAGUAAAUACAACUUGUCGUUAUGCUUGAACCAAUCCAUGUAACUCGAAGACAUAGCCAACUUCGAUGUAAGAAAUGGUUCAUGUGUUGGCAAGAAUUCUUACCUACACUCUCACAUCUCGAUAUACUUCUUGUGAAAUGUUGGUAAAUCUUCCUUGAGUCUUCCUCACAAGUCAAUCUUGUUGAGGUUAUCAAGCUCCUGGGUAGCAGUGGAAUAAGCUGUGUACACCCAAACUGUUGCAUGACUCAGUCAGAUUUGUACAUCUCGAUCGUAGCAAAAACGACCAAUGGCACUUUAAUGUUCCAAAUGUUGCAACUGGCCAAAAAUUCGACCGAGACGCAUUCUUGAAUCCUCGGAUCCGCAUAUGGCAUCCAUAUAAAUUGCAUUACGAAUUUAUAAUUUUU
Molecule: long non-coding RNA, 732 nt
Filed under: Gossypium barbadense (sea-island cotton)
Lineage: Eukaryota; Viridiplantae; Streptophyta; Magnoliopsida; Malvales; Malvaceae
Description: long non-coding RNA (GBAR_LNC013336)
Source: RNAcentral